This 2914-nucleotide ribosomal RNA is filed under the name Vibrio parahaemolyticus. RNAcentral describes it as "bacterial LSU rRNA". It matches the Rfam family "Bacterial large subunit ribosomal RNA". Lineage: Bacteria; Pseudomonadati; Pseudomonadota; Gammaproteobacteria; Vibrionales; Vibrionaceae. The record is from RNAcentral.
GUUGUAUGGUUAAGUGACUAAGCGUACACGGUGGAUGCCUUGGCAGUCAGAGGCGAUGAAAGACGUAGUAACUUGCGAUAAGCCCAGAUUAGGUAGUAACAACCAUUUGAGUCUGGGAUUUCUGAAUGGGGAAACCCACGUGCAUAAGCACGUAUCCUUACCUGAAUACAUAGGGUAAGGAGGCGAACCGGGGGAACUGAAACAUCUAAGUACCCCGAGGAAAAGAAAUCAACCGAGAUUCCGAAAGUAGCGGCGAGCGAAAUUGGACUAGCCCUUAAGCUUUACACGUGUUAGACGAACGGUCUGGAAAGUCCGACGAUACAGGGUGAUAGUCCCGUAGUUGACGACGUGUGUUCAGUGAAAUCGAGUAGGGCGGGACACGUGAUAUCCUGUCUGAAUAUGGGGGACCAUCCUCCAAGGCUAAAUACUACUGACUGACCGAUAGUGAACCAGUACCGUGAGGGAAAGGCGAAAAGAACCCCUGUGAGGGGAGUGAAAUAGAACCUGAAACCGUGUACGUACAAGCAGUAGGAGCAGGCUUUGUCCUGUGACUGCGUACCUUUUGUAUAAUGGGUCAGCGACUUAUAUUCAGUGGCAAGGUUAACCAUCUAGGGGAGCCGUAGGGAAACCGAGUCUUAACUGGGCGUUCAGUCUCUGGAUAUAGACCCGAAACCAGGUGAUCUAGCCAUGGGCAGGUUGAAGGUUGAGUAACAUCAACUGGAGGACCGAACCGACUAAUGUUGAAAAAUUAGCGGAUGACUUGUGGCUAGGGGUGAAAGGCCAAUCAAACCUGGAGAUAGCUGGUUCUCCCCGAAAGCUAUUUAGGUAGCGCCUCGGACGAAUACUACUGGGGGUAGAGCACUGUUAAGGCUAGGGGGUCAUCCCGACUUACCAACCCUUUGCAAACUCCGAAUACCAGUAAGUACUAUCCGGGAGACACACGGCGGGUGCUAACGUCCGUCGUGGAGAGGGAAACAACCCAGACCGCCAGCUAAGGUCCCAAAUUACUACUAAGUGGGAAACGAUGUGGGAAGGCUCAGACAGCCAGGAUGUUGGCUUAGAAGCAGCCAUCAUUUAAAGAAAGCGUAAUAGCUCACUGGUCGAGUCGGCCUGCGCGGAAGAUGUAACGGGGCUAAGUAGUAAACCGAAGCUGCGGCAAUGUGCUUUUGCACAUUGGGUAGGGGAGCGUUCUGUAAGCGGUUGAAGGUGUGUGGUAACGCAUGCUGGACGUAUCAGAAGUGCGAAUGCUGACAUGAGUAACGAUAAAGGGGGUGAAAAACCUCCUCGCCGGAAGACCAAGGGUUCCUGUCCAACGUUAAUCGGGGCAGGGUAAGUCGACCCCUAAGGCGAGGCCGAAAGGCGUAGUCGAUGGGAAACGGGUUAAUAUUCCCGUACUUCUUACAAUUGCGAUGGGGGACGGAGAAGGCUAGGUGGGCCUGGCGACGGUUGUCCAGGUUCAAGUGCGUAGGCUUGAGAGUUAGGUAAAUCCGGCUCUUUUUAAGGCUGAGACACGACGUCGAGCCACUACGGUGGUGAAGUCAUUGAUGCCAUGCUUCCAGGAAAAGCCUCUAAGCUUCAGAUUGUAAGGAAUCGUACCCCAAACCGACACAGGUGGUCGGGUAGAGAAUACCAAGGCGCUUGAGAGAACUCGGGUGAAGGAACUAGGCAAAAUGGUACCGUAACUUCGGGAGAAGGUACGCUCUCGACGGUGAAGUCCCUCGCGGAUGGAGCUAUUGAGAGUCGCAGAUACCAGGUGGCUGCAACUGUUUAUUAAAAACACAGCACUGUGCAAAAUCGUAAGAUGACGUAUACGGUGUGACGCCUGCCCGGUGCCGGAAGGUUAAUUGAUGGGGUUAGACUUCGGUCGAAGCUCUUGAUCGAAGCCCCGGUAAACGGCGGCCGUAACUAUAACGGUCCUAAGGUAGCGAAAUUCCUUGUCGGGUAAGUUCCGACCUGCACGAAUGGCGUAAUGAUGGCCACGCUGUCUCCACCCGAGACUCAGUGAAAUUGAAAUCGCUGUGAAGAUGCAGUGUACCCGCGGCUAGACGGAAAGACCCCGUGAACCUUUACUACAGCUUGGCACUGAACAUUGACCCUACAUGUGUAGGAUAGGUGGGAGGCUUUGAAGCACGUACGCCAGUAUGUGUGGAGCCGUCCUUGAAAUACCACCCUUGUAGUGUUGAUGUUCUAACGUCGACCCCUUAUCGGGGUUGCGGACAGUGCCUGGUGGGUAGUUUGACUGGGGCGGUCUCCUCCCAAAGAGUAACGGAGGAGCACGAAGGUGGGCUAAUCACGGUUGGACAUCGUGAGGUUAGUGCAAUGGCAUAAGCCCGCUUGACUGCGAGAAUGACAAUUCGAGCAGGUGCGAAAGCAGGUCAUAGUGAUCCGGUGGUUCUGAAUGGAAGGGCCAUCGCUCAACGGAUAAAAGGUACUCCGGGGAUAACAGGCUGAUACCGCCCAAGAGUUCAUAUCGACGGCGGUGUUUGGCACCUCGAUGUCGGCUCAUCACAUCCUGGGGCUGAAGUCGGUCCCAAGGGUAUGGCUGUUCGCCAUUUAAAGUGGUACGCGAGCUGGGUUUAGAACGUCGUGAGACAGUUCGGUCCCUAUCUGCCGUGGGCGUUGGAAGAUUGAAGGGGGCUGCUCCUAGUACGAGAGGACCGGAGUGGACGAACCUCUGGUGUUCGGGUUGUGUCGCCAGACGCAUUGCCCGGUAGCUAAGUUCGGAAUCGAUAACCGCUGAAAGCAUCUAAGCGGGAAGCGAGCCCUGAGAUGAGUCUUCCCUGAUACUUUAAGUAUCCUAAAGGGUUGUCGGAGACUACGACGUUGAUAGGUCAGGUGUGUAAGUGCUGUGAGGCAUUGAGCUAACUGAUACUAAUUGCCCGUGAGGCUUAACCAUACAACACCCAAGGGGUUU